GAGAGGGAGCCUGAGAAACGGCUACCACAUCUAAGGAAGGCAGCAGGCGCCCAAAUUACCCAAUCCCUAAUAGGGGAGGUAGUGACAAGAAAUAACAAUAUAGGACUUUUUGGUUAUGUAAUUGGAAUGAGUUAAGUAUAAACCCCUUUACAAGUAUCAAUUGGAGGGUAAGUCUGGUGCCAGCAGCCGCGGUAAUUCCAGCUCCAAUAGCGUAUAUUAAAGUUGUUGCAGUUAAAAAGCUCGUAGUUGGAU
Molecule: ribosomal RNA, 252 nt
Filed under: Cryptosporidium parvum
Lineage: Eukaryota; Apicomplexa; Conoidasida; Eucoccidiorida; Cryptosporidiidae
Description: partial small subunit ribosomal RNA
Rfam family: Eukaryotic small subunit ribosomal RNA
Source: RNAcentral